AUUUUUUUUUAUAUAAAUAUCAUUAAUAAUGAAUGAUGCCUGUUAAAAUUUGGAAUGUUAUUACAGAGAGAAUAAAAAGAGAGAUAAACAUGGUUCAGUUGCUAGGAGGCUGAAUCCAUGGACACAAAGUCUCAAGGGCUACAUUUUAUUCAUUUGUAUUUGUACAUAUAAUAUAUAUAAGAGUCCAUAUUUAUAAAUGGAAGAUAAAAGAUGUAUAUAGUAUGCUAUCAAUAGAACAUGUAUAAUAUGAUUUGCUAAUCAAUAAAACAAGUAUCAAUCAACUCACAAAUUUUUGCUAAUCAAUCAUAUGAUUUUCUUAUAAUCAUGUAAUUCUUCAAUUAUUUCGGUGCUUAUUUUACUGGUUGCAUUACAAAGGAUAGACUUUGUGGUAAUUGAUACAUGCACCGUCUUUUACUGCGCUAUCUUAUUGCUAUGUGCCUGAAUUUGAUGCUAAAAUUGACAACGAUCUUUAUAGGUUCUAGCUGCCUACUGUUAGCUUAGUUCAACGCGAGCGUAAUGAAUUUAUGUUAGCUGCUUGAUUUGAAUAAAUGAGAAGUUAAUCUAAGAAAUGAACCUUAACUGAUUUUCGAUGCUUGUGCAAUGAACAUAAUCUAAGGCUGCAUUUGGUCUCUACAUUUCACUCUCACAGAUUUUCCUCUGGUGGGGAA
RNAcentral lists this unclassified non-coding RNA (668 nucleotides) under Hevea brasiliensis (rubber tree). Lineage: Eukaryota; Viridiplantae; Streptophyta; Magnoliopsida; Malpighiales; Euphorbiaceae. The record is from RNAcentral.